AAAUUGAAGAGUUUGAUCAUGGCUCAGAUUGAACGCUGGCGGCAGGCCUAACACAUGCAAGUCGAACGGUAACAGGAAACAGCUUGCUGUUUCGCUGACGAGUGGCGGACGGGUGAGUAAUGUCUGGGAAACUGCCUGAUGGAGGGGGAUAACUACUGGAAACGGUAGCUAAUACCGCAUAACGUCGCAAGACCAAAGAGGGGGACCUUCGGGCCUCUUGCCAUCGGAUGUGCCCAGAUGGGAUUAGCUAGUAGGUGGGGUAACGGCUCACCUAGGCGACGAUCCCUAGCUGGUCUGAGAGGAUGACCAGCCACACUGGAACUGAGACACGGUCCAGACUCCUACGGGAGGCAGCAGUGGGGAAUAUUGCACAAUGGGCGCAAGCCUGAUGCAGCCAUGCCGCGUGUAUGAAGAAGGCCUUCGGGUUGUAAAGUACUUUCAGCGGGGAGGAAGGGAGUAAAGUUAAUACCUUUGCUCAUUGACGUUACCCGCAGAAGAAGCACCGGCUAACUCCGUGCCAGCAGCCGCGGUAAUACGGAGGGUGCAAGCGUUAAUCGGAAUUACUGGGCGUAAAGCGCACGCAGGCGGUUUGUUAAGUCAGAUGUGAAAUCCCCGGGCUCAACCUGGGAACUGCAUCUUAUACUGGCAAGCUUGAGUCUCGUAGAGGGGGUAGAAUUCCAGUGUGUAGCGGUGAAAUGCGUAGAGAUCUGGAGGAAUACCGGUGGCGAAGGCGGCCCCUGGACGAAGACUGACGCUCAGGUGCGAAAGCGUGGGGAGCAAACAGGAUUAGAUACCCCUGGUAGUCCACGCUGUAAACGAUGUCGACUUGGAGGUUGUGCCCUUGAGGUGUGGCUUCCGGAGCUAACGCGUUAAGUCGACCGCCUGGGGGAGUACGACCGCAAGGUUAAAACUCAAAUGAAUUGACGGGGGCCCGCACAAGCGGUGGAGCAUGUGGUUUAAUUCGAUGCAACGCGAAGAACCUUACCUGGUCUUGACAUCCACGGAAGUUUUCAGAGAUGAGAAUGUGCCUUCGGGAACCGUGAGACAGGUGCUGCAUGGCUGUCGUCAGCUCGUGUUGUGAAAUGUUGGGUUAAGUCCCGCAACGAGCGCAACCCUUAUCCUUUGUUGCCAGCGGUCCGGCCGGGAACUCAAAGGAGACUGCCAGUGAUAAACUGGAGGAAGGUGGGGAUGACGUCAAGUCAUCAUGGCCCUUACGACCAGGGCUACACACGUGCUACAAUGGCGCAUACAAAGAGAAGCGACCUCGCGAGAGCAAGCGGACCUCAUAAAGUGCGUCGUAGUCCGGAUUGAGUCUGCAACUCGACUCCAUGAAGUCGGAAUCGCUAGUAAUCGUGGAUCAGAAUGCCACGGUGAAUACGUUCCCGGGCCUUGUACACACCGCCCGUCACACCAUGGGAGUGGGUUGCAAAAGAAGUAGGUAGCUUAACCUUCGGGAGGGCGCUUACCACUUUGUGAUUCAUGACUGGGGUGAAGUCGUAACAAGGUAACCGUAGGGGAACCUGCGGUUGGAUCACCUCCUUA
Molecule: ribosomal RNA, 1542 nt
Filed under: Shigella flexneri
Lineage: Bacteria; Pseudomonadati; Pseudomonadota; Gammaproteobacteria; Enterobacterales; Enterobacteriaceae
Description: bacterial SSU rRNA
Rfam family: Bacterial small subunit ribosomal RNA
Source: RNAcentral